Molecule: unclassified non-coding RNA, 600 nt
Filed under: Hevea brasiliensis (rubber tree)
Lineage: Eukaryota; Viridiplantae; Streptophyta; Magnoliopsida; Malpighiales; Euphorbiaceae
Source: RNAcentral
GUGUGAUGCUUGACUUGCUGAAGACACGAGAAUAACCCUAGUCUAAAAUGGGGUGGUUUGCCAGCUCUAUUUCAAAAAUCUCGAACUCCUCAAACUUUUUCUGAAGAAACUAAUAUCAACUCGUUGCCGUCACCUAAAACUUUAACAUCCCCAAUUUAAAUCAGAUUAGCCCUCUUUAAGAAUCUGAUAGUCCUACAGUAAUAGGGCCAUAUAGAUUCCACAAAAUCAAGGUACAUAUCCAUGAACCACUCUUCAAAUUCCUUCAACCUUCUCCUUGAUAACUCUUUGUAGUCUAGGUUCUUAAUGCUUCCAACAGGUUGGAACACACGAGCUUCUACAUCUUGUUUAAGCUUCCCCUGAGAAAUAUAGCUAGAGGCCACCAAAUAGUAAGUAGGCAAGUUUUUUGUUAGUUUAACCGUCUGCUUAAAGCUGAAGACAUAGAGAGUCCACAAAACUCGGAGCACAUUGAUGUAGAACACAACAAUUAGUGGCCCCAAAAUCCACAAAGGAGUCAACUCCUUUGACACAUCAACCCCAUAAAUGACGUUGACUGCAAGGUACAGAGGGAUGAAAAUCAGUAAGGGUAUCUUUAUUGUUGCA